This 4155-nucleotide long non-coding RNA is filed under the name Callithrix jacchus (white-tufted-ear marmoset). RNAcentral describes it as "lncRNA (ENSCJAG00000072736.1)". The record is from RNAcentral. Lineage: Eukaryota; Metazoa; Chordata; Mammalia; Primates; Cebidae.
AUGUCUGCGUGUGAGGAUAAGUGCAAACAACAAAGGCUUCAACUGUGGCAGAGGCUGCAUCAUUUUCUUGGAACUUGCCAUUAUGUUUCAGCCAUGAUCAGGAAGGUGAGGAUGGACAAGGAAAACUUCUUAGUAAUAAGCAGAAAGCAUCUGGUGCGAAGAAGGAAGGUAAGUACACAGAUUGCAUUCUGUUUUUAUUCACCAAGCAGCCCUGAACAUUUAGAAUGAACAAGGCUAUAUACAGGCACAAUGUAGAAACAGGUGGUACAAUCUUUGCUCUCAAGCAGCUUAUACUUCACAUGGCAAAAAGAUAUGCAUGAACAAAUAAAUUAUAGCAAAUGAGGAAAUGCAUACAAAAAAGGGUUCUAUCAAAGCAUGAUUAUGAAUAAGCUUUAAAUCCUAAAGGAUUCAUUCCAGCAAGUAUUAAUGUAUUUUGGUUCUCAUUAGUUCUACCAAUAACUUGGGUCUUGAACUUUCAACACUUCAUUAACUGAAAGAAGAGGCUGGAGUAAUCACUGUUGCAAUAGCAUGACUGCUAUAUUUUUUCUCACAGCCACCAACUGAUAGCUACAAAACUGCACUUCCUAGAGAUGUGUUGAGAGAGGUUCAAGGCUCAACAAAACGUACCAUCUUGCUGUCAGAGGUGCAAUUAGAUGUUUGAUGUAGCUCCCAGGUUAAUUACAAAGUGAGCAUUAUACUGGAUUAAUAAAUGCUGAGGUUGUUGCCCUUGCAAUGAGUGAAGACAGUGCUGAAUAAUUCAGCUCACUCUUUCUGGUUGGCACUUAUCAAUGUUAGUUAUUUGGCAUGUCAGCCUGACCUGGGUAUGUCACCAAAGACCACAUGGGGCAGAUGUGGAAGCAAAUCAGUGAUCCUAGCUCAGGUGUUGUACAAAGCAUUCCGUGCAGAUUUAACAAAUUCAAGUACCAUACAAUACAGGCUGGAUUUUCCCUGGAAUUAAAAGUAAAUAUGUUUUUCCAUUUUUUAAUUGACCAAAUAUUUUAUUAAAACAUUUGAUUGAAAAUAAUCUCUAAAAGUAUUUCCAAGUUCCAGGAAUUUGAACAGUAUGCUGAUAGAAUAAAGGAGGCUAUUACUGUAAAAGGUCUUUCAGUAUAUAUAACCGAUAUCCAAAAUACAUAUCAGAAAGCAGCUCUGCUUGAGCACAUGAAAAGUGAUGUCAAAGUAGGAAAAAAAAUUGGCACUAGGCCCGGCAUGGUGGCUCAUGCCUGUAAUCUCAGCACUUUGGGAGGCUGAGGUGGGCAGAUCACUUGAGGUCAGGAGUUGGAGACAAGCUUGGCCAACAUGCUGAAACCUCAUCUCUACAAAAAAAAAAAAGAAAAACAAAAAAAAAAACCAUAAAAAUUAGCCAGGUUUGGUGGUGUACACUUGUAAUCCGAGCUACUAAGGAGGCUGAGGCAUGAGAAUCACUUGAAGCCAGGAGGCAGAGGUUACACUGAGCCAAGAUCAUGCCACUGCACUCCAGCCUGGGUGACUGAACAAGAUUGUCUCAAAAUAAUUUUUUUUAAUUGACACUUUAUUUUAUUAUAAUAGUUGAAAUGGCAGUAAAAAAAAAAAAAGUUCAUCUUUUCUCUUAAUAGAACAAUGACUGGUAUAUUGUAAGGUCUUGAUAAAUAUUCUUUGAAUACAUCUUUGGCCAUCCUAAGAAAGUAGAAUUCAUUUGGCAUUUAUACCUAAUAUCAUUUUCCUCAUGAUUUACACAAGUAUUUUAGGGUCAAGUUUUGAAACCCCAGUAACCUAAUUCCUUGCUACUCAAAGUGUGGUCCACAGACAAGCACCAAUAUCACCUGGGAGCUUGUGAGAGCUGCAAAAUCUCAGUCCUAAUUAAUCAGACCUGCUGAACCAGAAUCUGCACACUAAAGUUUGAUAAAAUCUCUUUUAAAACAGGUGAAAUAGUCCUAAAGUUAAGAUCAAAGCCCACUUUAAAAAGCGAAAAGCACAAGGGAAGUAGAACUCAAAAAAUGGCAAUGGAACCAGAAAAGAUGUUUGGAAGGUGCAAAAUAUGACUUGCAUGUGUGAUGUGAUAGGUACAUACAGUCAAAUGCUCAUACCCAAGUAAUUAUUAUGACUUUGGGUGAGUUUCUCAAGCUCUCUUGGAGCUAUUUGCAAAAGAAAAAAGGUAAGAUAGAAAACCUCUAGUUCUAAAUGUGAUUUUCCUCUUGUCUCCAAGAACGUUGGGUCUCAUUUCCCAAAAAUUAUCCAGAGCGUCCCUUUCAACCUAGGUCAUACCAGUUUGGCCACUGUUUGUGCCUCCUGUCCUAAUUUUUAACCCAGCCCUCACCCUACACUACUCUGCCACUCACGUGAGACAUAUGCUAUAGACAUUUUGGAUAUGCUUUUAGCCCAUUAAAUGUGAAAACAGCCUUUAUUCUGGAAAGCUCUAUUCAUUUCAGAUAAAUCAGAAAGAUAUUUACUCAUAUAUAUUAUAUGUAUAUCCACCUAAUUAAUUGGGCAAAAUAAAAUGAAUAAUCCUUGUAAUAUCCCCUUUUAACCCAUAUUCUCUUCUAUUAUACUUCAUACUAUCAUUGGGGAAACAGGCCAGAUGUCUUUUUUUUCUCUGCUUAUAUACCAAGAAAUCUUUCUUAAAGAUCUCUUUUAUAUUUUUCAGUUUUAUGUAUUUGUUGUUCUACUAACUUAAUACAGUAUUUUAAUGGAGAUUCCAUAGAAAAAUAAUGGCUAGCAGAGCUUUAAAGAAACUUUAAGUCAUUGUUUAUAUUCCUAGAGCAGAGGAAUAUUGUAUAUGACAUGAUUUAAGAAAACCACUGCUAAUGAACAAAUUAGUAUCUGACUCUAUACAAGAAAUACACAAAGAGCCUGCUGCUGCUUUUCUGAGCAGGACAGUUCAUAGGGACAUUGAGCAUGGUUGGCAUCUAACCUGGUUACUCUGAAGAUUUCAAGAUUAAAUCCUCAGUCCUAUGAAUUAACCAAUUGUCCAGUGUUAAAAUACAGAUACCCGCUGCACACAUGAAACUACUCAUCAAUAAUUUAAACUUUAAUAUAUGUAAAAGGUGUCCAGUAGGAUCUAGCUGAAUCUGAGCAUCAAUUCUGGAAAAGGAAAAGGCCUGAGAUCUUUGGCUGCUCAGUAGUGUAAAGGUGGGAGAAAGAAGUCAACAAGGGCUUCAAGGAAAGAUCAAAGGACAGUGAAAGAAGAGUUUUCCUAGUUUUGCCUAGAGCAGGCCUUUGAUUAGUGUUAGAGUGCUGACUCUCUAAAGAUAGAUAUCUAAAAGGAUUAUUCCAGAUAUGUGAGAUCACAGGAAAGAUUGUGCAAGGGCAUAAAUGUGAGCAUAUUAUAGUGAUUAAGACCAUGUGACCAUAAAGGAAGAGGAAGAUGGAACAGAAAGAUACAAGAAGAAUACAAACAAGAGGUUGGUGCCUAGAAAAAGAGGAAGAGAGUAAAACGUUUGGGAAGUAUAGAAAGUGUAUGAUCCUUUAGAAAUUGUUCUUUGUGUACUACUCAUUGCUAAACUUCAGUGUUUAAAAUUCAGUAUUUAUACAGCAAGCGUAGGUAUACAGCUAUCAUUAAAUUCUAAUAUGUAAUGGUCUGUAUACUUCCAGAAGCUUUCAGAGGUUUUGAAUUGAUAUUCCAUUAUAAAUUUUUGAGGGAUUCACAAUUUGAAAUGUAUAUGUCUAGCAAUAAUUCUUUCCCUCAGCCCCACCCCCCAGAUCUUUAUAUUUCUGGUAAUUUUUCAUCAUUCAGGCUUUAGUUGAAAUGGAAACACCUCAGAAAGCCUUUUGCUUUCCUAACCAUCCUUGGUAAGAAGAAUUCUAUGUUGGACUCUCCAGGUUCCUGGCCUUGAGAAACAUACAUCUCCCAGUUAUUCAGUCAAACACUAAUGUAGUUAUUGCUGUAAAGGAAGUAUGAAGAUGAAAUGAAGGUCCCAAAUCUAUUGACCUUUGGAUAGAGAUUAACUGGGUAGAAGUGACCUAGUCAUAUGAGCCCUUUAAAGAUACGACCUCAUAGCAGUUACAAUGGCCAUAUCAAACAGACAAGAAAGGCUGGGCAUGGUGGCUCACGCCUAUAAUUCCAGCACUUUGGGAGGCCUAGGCGGGUGGAUCACCUGAGGUCUGGCUGUUUGAAGAAGUCAGAGAUGUGAAGUUUCUGAAGGCUAUCACAUGCCAUUGCUGACAAAGAUGGAAGAA